GCGACCUUUCACCAUAUUGUCGUUAUACUGAAGUUAUCAUAGUGACAGGACUGAGUGGAUAAUCCGUGUAUCACAGUGUAAACAUGGCUGACACGAAGAGAGAAGAGGUGGCAUUCAGUAAUCAACGCAGUUUGUGCGACUAACAGGGGAGCGAUUGAAGUUCGCAAGAAGUGGAAUGAUUACAAGUGUUAUGUCAAGAAAAAGUCCAUAUCAUUGAAGAAGGAGCAGAAAUACACAGGGGUGGC
This is a long non-coding RNA of Haliotis rubra (blacklip abalone), 245 nucleotides long. RefSeq lists it as uncharacterized. The record is from RefSeq and is a predicted model, not a curated record. Lineage: Eukaryota; Metazoa; Mollusca; Gastropoda; Lepetellida; Haliotidae. The transcript has 3 exons.